This 253-nucleotide ribosomal RNA is filed under the name uncultured bacterium. RNAcentral describes it as "partial 16S ribosomal RNA". It matches the Rfam family "Bacterial small subunit ribosomal RNA", at positions 524 to 776 of the family's 1533-position model. The record is from RNAcentral.
GACGGAGGGGGCUAGCGUUGUUCGGAAUUACUGGGCGUAAAGAGCACGUAGGCGGCGGUGCAAGUUGGGGGUGAAAUCCCGGGGCUCAACCCUGGAAUUGCCUCCAAAACUGUGCUGCUUGAGUUCGGAAGAGGAGAGUGGAAUUCCCAGUGUAGAGGUGAAAUUCGUAGAUAUUAGGAAGAACACCGGUGGCGAAGGCGGCCCACUGGAUCGGUACUGACGCUGAGGUGCGAAAGCGUGGGGAGCAAACAGG